UAAAGAGUCAAGACUACAGUCGGUUGAGAAUACAAACAGGUCAAAACUCACACCCGAAAUCACCCCCUCUUUCACUCGUCAAGCAAAGAAGCUUUAAAAAAAAGAAAAGAAAAAUAAAAACAGCAACAAAAUCGUGAGACAUAAGCACAGAGUUGCAAAGCAAGUUUCAGCACGCCCACGCAGCCGCGUAGCAAGACGCACGCAGAGGCAAACCGUGCCGCGAGCCAGUCGCUGCCAGACCGGAGGUGCCACGUCUGUGAACUCGGAGUGACAGCAGCUUCCCUCCCUCGGCGAAACGCUCCAGCCUCCCCCGUCACCUCCUCCUCUCUUGCGGUCCUUCCUGCUACCUGUCUUUCCACCACCACCAGCAGCAGCAGCUCAGUCUGCGUCUGUGUGGCCAGCCCCUGACCGAGUGCAGUGACCAAGAAUUGCUAUUGUCACCUUCCCCGACCUGCAAAUUCUCCUUUCACUUUGGCUUACAAGUGCGUGUGGAGAUUAUGCUACCUGGACCGACAAGUGCUUGCACGAUCGAGAGUAAUUAAUUUUCAUGACGCACUCUCCCAGGAGUGCAACACCGUCAGGCGUGUUUAAAUGCUCGGUGUGUCUAAAAGUAGAUAGAACUUACUUUUUAACUGUGUGAUUUUUAAAGGGAGCGAACAAGGACGAAGAAAAUCACACCAGAAUGCUGUUGAGCAAGUGUUUUAGUCCUGAAGACUAAUCAUAAACAAUGAAACGACUUCAAGGACCUUUGGUGGACUGUUCUCACUUGUAUACAUGGUGGGCUUGCAGCAUGAUCAUAACAUGGCCGGCUCCUUGUUACUUUAAUGUGCGAUGAUAACAGGUGCAGGAAGGAAAUAGAUCAACUUUUCACAAGCAACGCCUAACUGGAGGUUACUGAGGACUGGAAGGUAUAAACUAUCGCUAUCCUCACGACUGACAAGGUGAAGGAAACCAGAAGAAGAAUACAGCUCUGAAGAGAAGACAUUUUACCAUUAGGAGCCAGGGAGCUUGGAGGCGACUCAUCUCGGUGAAAACAGAUUUAUCGCUUUCUUUGUCUGGAGUAUACCAGAGGUCAUUUCUAGCACCAGUCUACACACCCAGGAACCCGUUGCCAUGAGACCGCAGCUACGGACGAGUUCAGAGCAGCGUCGCCGCUCCAGCGCGUGCCUGCUCCUGGAGCCCGGAUGUUCUCCUCUGGAUCCUUUGAAACGCCGGGGCUCCAGCAUCGCCAACGGUGGAACCAGCGGCCAUUUCCUGGCCGUUCCAGACCUCAGGAACCGUCGCUCCUCACUCAGUACCUCGACUUCCUCUCUUCUCAGCAUCGUCGAGGGCAGCAAGAAGCGAGGAUCCUUCACGUCCUCAUCUGCAACCGGAAGUCUGCUGUGCGUGCCGCAGGAGACAGAGCUCCGGCGGCGGUCGCUUCCGGGGUCACUGGAGGUGAACAGCGUGUCCACCUCACCCGCUGUGUGGAGCCGGCGUCGCUCCUCGGUGUCGCCUCGCGUUUCUGUUUCAGACGUGAACACUGUCGGAGCCAGAAAAAUGAAGGCUUUUGGGUUCGGUAUGAUCCUGUUUCUGAUCUUCGUGUUAAGCGUAUCGUUUCUCAGACUUAUUGUGCACUGAAAUAUAAACUGAAACGAGUCAUGGAUGCCAUUUUUUUUCUAAGACAAACUGUGCACAAAACUGCAAAAAGGCUGGUUAUUUAUUGUCCGGGUUCCAUUUUUCAAAUCAUCAUCAUCACGACCACUUCCAUUACACAGCUCUGCUGAUUUGACAGGCAUCGUUCAGUUCUGACCAGUGUAUAUAAUCAGUAUCUACUUUGACAAGUCUUGGAACAUUUGAUGACUUUGUUUUAAGGAUGUAUAUCCUGCAAUUUACUACCACAGAUCUGCUGCUGCAUAUAUAAGCUUUAUAAUCUUUUGGAGAAGUGAACAUAUCUGACGAUUACAAUGAGAAGUACUCUGUACUGUACAGUACACUAGGACCUCAAGACGCAUGUACUCGUACAUAAAUUGUAUGUAUUAGAGAAGUAUGUACAAAGCCAGGUGGAAGUGAAUGUCAGAACCUUGAGAGAAGUUCUGACUGUUAAAGGCCUCGCAAGAUUUCUGCUUGUGGUUUUUCACAUACUACAAUUUCACAUUCACAACGUCAGUGGAGUUUUAAUCAAAGUAAAGAAACUGUGAAACUUACUGUUAUAUAUUUUUAUCAUGAAAUAAAACUUUAUUGCAUACAAUAUAUAGAAAAUAACACACAGAGACCUGAAAAAAGUUAAUAAUUAAAAGAAACCUCUUCAGGAGAUAUUGCAAAAUAUUUCGAAAUCAAGUUAAGAAAAUAUUAACUUUGUUUCUAACCUCUGUAUGAAGACGUUUGAAAUAAAUGGUCUAGUGAAGAUAAAUGGAUGUCCAUGGAUGCGUUUUGUCUUAGCUCUAAAAAAAUGUACACCAUAAGUUAUUUGUUUCCAGGGCACCGUAAGUCUUGAUAAACACCAGCACUUUAAAUGGACUUUAACAAGGAAUCUUUAAACUAGCAAUAUCUCAAAGGCGACAAUUAUGAAUUUGAAAAGACAAAACGUCAGCUAAAACACGCACCAGGAUAAAUGAACCAUUUCACCAGUCAUCCUGGAGUACGUCUCUUCUUUCAUUCUAGUUUUGGAAAAUUACAGCAGAAAUGUUCUGUCUCCACUUCUCUUUAGUGUUGGAAAAUUACUGCACUCUCUCUCUCUCUCUUAUAUCAUUCCGCUGGUCUGUUCUUGUGUCUUCCUCUGUCUGUCGGUGUUGACAAUAUAAUGGAGUCCAAAUGAAUUAGAAACAGUAUUGGAGGAGGUCAGGGAGUGUACGCGCCAGCUGUCUGUGAGUGGUGUUUGAUCCACUGGUCGUCGCCAGCGUGUAGCAAUAUCCUGGCAUUGCUCCAAGACCGCGGUGCCGCCGCGUGCCGCAGACAGGCAGGACAAAGUUAUCAGACCGACCAUCCAUUGAGCUCUCAUGACAGGGAUCACCCGUCCUGCCUCUCUCUUCCUCCCACCCACCCAGUUCCUUUGUCAAUGAUACUUUGUAGUCUUUCUGAUUUUAGCUUCUGGAAGGCAUAGUUUCGCAAUUCAGAAACUUUUUUCCUUAAAAUAGAAUAAGAUAAUGGAAUACGUGAGUCUCAUUGGCAAGAUAAAAAACACAAGGAAACAGAGUAGGAAUUUUCCAACCCUAAAGAUGGUGGACGAACUACUUACACUUUUUUGCGCGAGAGAGAUAUCAAGACUCGUAGUAAGUUGUUCUCCAUCAGCUUCUCAGAUGUGUUUUUGUCACAGAUGUCAAUAGAUGAGAGACGUGGUUCCUUUGUCUUCAUUGAAACUGCAGAUGAGCUGCACCAAGAACUAGCACUGGACCUCCAUAAGCAGCGUGUUAACCUCUCCUAUCAGCCAUCUGCCUCGAGGCUUACAUGAGACUCGGGUCUUCAACGAUCGGCGAUAGCAAAGAUAUCUCGCCACUGCCGACGAUUACCCUUCAUAUUCUCAUUAGAUAUUAUCUGCUAACAUGAAGCGAGGUAUGCGUAGAGUAGUAUUUCACUGUCAACUUGAGGAGCAUUGUCUAAAAAUGACAUGUCUGAAGGUUCACGGCAAACAUUAUGCCUUUAUCCUGUGAGCUGCGUUCACUCAUCCCGGUUUCGUUGAACGAGUGGUGAGGCAAGAUCAUAAAGAGCCGAUAUGAGAGAAGAGAGGAGAGAGAGAGAGGUGCACAGAAAUCAAUGCGAGCAAUCUAAGAGCUUAAGUGGACCAGCUGUCCAUGGAAAUGGCGAUUAUGGGUAUUUUCUGGAAGUAAGUAACAUCUCUCAUGGUUCUUCUCCAGUUGCAAAACGAAUCUCAUUCACAUCCUCUCACAUCGCUUCAUGAACGUUUCUUCCAAGCGCUUAAUCUGAUUUUUACACACACCCACACGUGGAUGCACACGGAGAGAGAGAGAGAGGGUAGGUUAUUUUCUAACGGUCUCUUUCCUAUGGACUUAAUAGAUGUACUUACUCAACAGUCAAUAUUCAAAAAUAACUUUGCCAGCAGGUGUUGUCGGUUACGGUUUAAUUAAGCCUUCGCUUGAUAACAUUAAAGGAGCCGCUAAAAAGCCGAAAAAUUGCUUACAUCGCGCACCGUUUUAAUCGUUUUGCGCUUCCUGUUUUGGCUUGCUUGCACUGACUGACAAUUUCCGUCAGAUUGCUUUCAAUUUUCAAGGAACUAUUGGCACAACACAGUUCUUAUUUCAAACACGUUUAGGCGUUAAAUCUCUUGAUUUGAAAACAGCCCCAAAGGGCAGUGUACAUUCGAUUUAAAAAAAAAACUUCUUAACUAAACAAAGAUAAGAAAAAUGUUUUAAGAAAUGAAAACUAGAAAUAGAAAACUACUGAAGCCGGACAUCCACAUCCAUCUGCACAUGCCAAUGUAAAAAUAUGGCCCAGUGAAAAACCAGGGAAGUGAACCAUUUUCAUGCAAAGUGGAAACAGACAGAGCUACUGAAUGGAUUGUUUAGUCGACAAACUCAAAACUCGCAGAACAAAUAAAGUUUGAUGCGUUAGUUGAUGUGGUGAUGCUAUUUUCAAACUUUCAUGCGCAGGGUUUCUACCGAGCAUUAGAGCUUUAUAACACAAGAAGCGCGAAAUCUUUGGUAAGCUUGCUAUUACAGUCGUAACAUACCCCUCUAAAAGUACUUUGACAGAAACAGAACACAUUCCUUCAUGCCUCUAGCACCAUGGAGGGCUGUUCUCUAAUUUAUUAGUUUACUGUUUUGUUGAAAGGUAUUUAUGAGAAUAAGAAACUUUUCCGAGAUAUUAGCUUUUGUUUGAGCCACUACAGCAUGUUAUGAAUAUUUCAUUUCAAGAUGACAGCACUUUGAUAAAAAAAAUCCCGAUUACACACCAUUAAGCAAUUUGGAAACCACUAAGAUUUUUGCUUUUAAAUGGUAAUUUCAUUCCUUUAGAAAUGAGCUAUUCUGGAUCGAAGAAGCAGAGGAUCCAUUGAAAGAACGAAAGAGCAAAGGCUGUGAGCUACUUCAGGGCCAAUUUUGCUGAAAAUGAUGGCAGGGGUGCCAGAGAGAAAGCUAUUUAUGUCACGUAAUGGGAAAGUUUAUGAAGGGAAUAAGUUCUCUUUUUGUAUCACACUUCAAUGUUUUGUUAAUACAAAGGCUGACCUUUAUGGUCCAUGGCAUUACUAAUCAUCGCCAUGCCACCCAGAGAAGAAAAAUGUGUGUGGCCAUUUUUUAGCAUGAGAUGC
RNA transcript from Pomacea canaliculata, 5242 nucleotides. RefSeq lists it as uncharacterized. The transcript has 2 exons. Lineage: Eukaryota; Metazoa; Mollusca; Gastropoda; Architaenioglossa; Ampullariidae. The record is from RefSeq and is a predicted model, not a curated record.